UUGUUUUUAAAGUAUUUCUAAUCCUACAAAAUAAUAAUAUAAAAACAUAAAUAAAAAACUAUUAUAUAGAAAUAAAAAAAUAAAUUUUAAAAUGAAAAUGUACCAAACUUAUGCUAAUUAAUUAAUAAGAGAUAUAUUGAUAAAUAUGUAUAUAUGGCAGAGAUAUGUAGGUCUUGAAAAAAUAAUUUUUUGCUUCUAUUUUUUUUGUAGAAAUAAUUGUCAGAAACACACCUAAAUUAUUUCUUUUUUGAGUUUCAUACUUAAACUAUUGAGAGUGUGAGUUUCAUACCUAAACUAACUUAUUAGUUUGAGAAACACACCUUAGUGGUGUGUAAUACACUCUCUCUUUUUGGAAAAAAC
RNAcentral lists this long non-coding RNA (360 nucleotides) under Solanum tuberosum (potato). Its description in RNAcentral is "long non-coding RNA (STUB_LNC003016)". The record is from RNAcentral. Lineage: Eukaryota; Viridiplantae; Streptophyta; Magnoliopsida; Solanales; Solanaceae.